CUGUGAUGCCCUUAGAAGUUCUGUGCCGCAGACGCGCUACACUGACAGAGCCAACGAGUUCAUCACCUUAUCCGAAAGGUCUGGGUAAUCUUGUGAGACUCU
Molecule: ribosomal RNA, 102 nt
Filed under: Myxotrichaceae sp.
Lineage: Eukaryota; Fungi; Ascomycota; Leotiomycetes; Myxotrichaceae
Description: partial small subunit ribosomal RNA
Rfam family: Eukaryotic small subunit ribosomal RNA
Source: RNAcentral